GUGGCUCAGUGGGUAAGGCACCAGCCUCAUAUGCUGGGGAUGGCGGGUUCAAACCCGCC
RNAcentral lists this transfer RNA (59 nucleotides) under Otolemur garnettii (small-eared galago). It matches the Rfam family "tRNA", at positions 7 to 64 of the family's 71-position model. From Rfam's summary of the family: Transfer RNA (tRNA) molecules are approximately 80 nucleotides in length. Their secondary structure includes four short double-helical elements and three loops (D, anti-codon, and T loops). Further hydrogen bonds mediate the characteristic L-shaped molecular structure. tRNAs have two regions of fundamental functional importance: the anti-codon, which is responsible for specific mRNA codon recognition, and the 3' end, to which the tRNAs corresponding amino acid is attached (by aminoacyl-tRNA synthetases). tRNAs cope with the degeneracy of the genetic code in two manners: having more than one tRNA (with a specific anti-codon) for a particular amino acid; and 'wobble' base-pairing, i.e. permitting non-standard base-pairing at the 3rd anti-codon position. The record is from Rfam by way of RNAcentral. Lineage: Eukaryota; Metazoa; Chordata; Mammalia; Primates; Galagidae.